This 253-nucleotide ribosomal RNA is filed under the name uncultured prokaryote. RNAcentral describes it as "partial 16S ribosomal RNA". It matches the Rfam family "Bacterial small subunit ribosomal RNA", at positions 524 to 776 of the family's 1533-position model. The record is from RNAcentral.
AACGUAGGACACGAGCGUUAUCCGGAGUUACUGGGCGUAAAGGGCGUGCAGGCGGCGGGGUAAGUUUGGUGUGAAAGCUCCCGGCUUAACCGGGAGAGGACACUGAAGACUGCCCGGCUCGAGGCAGAUAGAGGGCUGUAGAAUUCCGGGUGUAGUGGUGAAAUGCGUAGAGAUCCGGAGGAAUACCAGAGGCGAAGGCGGCAGCCUGGGUCUGACCUGACGCUGAGACGCGACAGCAUGGGGAGCGAACGGG